GGGCCUAUAGCUCAGUUGGUUAGAGCAGAGGACUCAUAAUCCUUUGGUCGCAAGUUCGAGUCUUGCUGGGCCCACCA
RNAcentral lists this transfer RNA (77 nucleotides) under Marinobacter sp. RNAcentral's name for it is "tRNA-Ile". It matches the Rfam family "tRNA". Rfam says of the family: Transfer RNA (tRNA) molecules are approximately 80 nucleotides in length. Their secondary structure includes four short double-helical elements and three loops (D, anti-codon, and T loops). The record is from RNAcentral. RNAcentral also lists the same sequence under 3 other names. Lineage: Bacteria; Pseudomonadati; Pseudomonadota; Gammaproteobacteria; Pseudomonadales; Marinobacteraceae.